This 75-nucleotide transfer RNA is filed under the name Actinomycetes bacterium. Its description in RNAcentral is "tRNA-Val". It matches the Rfam family "tRNA". From Rfam's summary of the family: Transfer RNA (tRNA) molecules are approximately 80 nucleotides in length. Their secondary structure includes four short double-helical elements and three loops (D, anti-codon, and T loops). RNAcentral also lists the same sequence under 1 other name. The record is from RNAcentral. Lineage: Bacteria; Bacillati; Actinomycetota; Actinomycetes.
GGGCGUAUAGCUCAGCGGUAGAGCACCUGCCUUACAAGCAGGCGGUCACAGGUUCAAAUCCUGUUGCGCCCACCA